AGUAAAGUAAGCUAAAUAAGCUCUUGGGCCCAUACCCCAAACAUGAUGGUUAGACCCCUUCCUUUACUA
RNAcentral lists this transfer RNA (69 nucleotides) under Hypoplectrus unicolor (butter hamlet). RNAcentral's name for it is "tRNA-Met". The record is from RNAcentral. Lineage: Eukaryota; Metazoa; Chordata; Actinopteri; Perciformes; Serranidae. RNAcentral also lists the same sequence under 15 other names.